GGUUUUAAGAUGGGUGCGGAAAUCCAAAGCCACUUUAAAGGAAGAUUUAAUAAGAAAAAUAGCUGUGAUUUAUAUUGAAAAUCUCAUGUUUUCAAGAUUAGAUGACCUAGGAGAUGAUCUUUCAUCUCGAAGUGGUAAAACUGAUAUUGUUUGGUGUCUGCACCUCCUUUCUAGUGCGUGUUCAGAAAUUCCGAAAUUCCAAGUUCGGCCGCCGAACGUUGUAUGGUUUUGCAUACAGUUUCGGCAGCCGAAGGAAAGGCGGUUGGCCACCUAUAAAGGCCCCUUUGACCGGCCAUGGAGGGAGCUGGAAGCUCUCUUUGUGGUCAAGGUGGGGUUUAGGUUCUCCUUGGAUGUUUUCAUGAUAUUUCCUCAAAUCUUGCAAGGUUUUCAUGAGUUUUCACUUGGUUUUGAAGGUUUUGAGUAAAAAGAGAAAGUUGUGGAGCUUGAAGCUUGAGGAGCUUGGUUUCUCCAUGUUUUGAAGCUAGGAUCACACCAGCCUUUGUUCUUGAAGAGGUAAGUGUUGAUCCUUAUGUUUUAUAGUGUUUUAAGCAAGUUUUAUGGAGGGAAAGGGUAGAGUUGCAUGGUUAGGGGUCAAAGGAUAUUUUUGAGGGUUUUUAUGCAUGAGUAUGUUUAUGUGUUAUGGGUGUUGUUUGUUGGGGUUUUUAGGUAGUUUUGGACCCCUUUGUGCAUAUAUUUGAGUAUAUGCAGCUAUGUGUGUUGAGAUGCAUGUUGAGUGAGGUUUGGGGGAAGUUGUGCAUGAGGUGAGUUAGGUUCUGCCUAACUGGAGAACCCAGCUUCGGCCGCCGAAGGAGGGUUCGGCCGCCGAACGUGGUGAGGAGGUGGUUUCGGCUGCCUCAACCUGCUCCCGAAGGAUUGGACUUUCGUCUCUGGAGGGGAGGUUCGGCCGCCGAAGGUGCCGCCGAAGGUUAGAGACUUUCGUCUCUAGAGUGUGUUUUGGCCCCCGAACCUUGCCCCCGAAGGCUUCGGCCGCCGAAAGAGGAGAUUCGGCCGCCGAAAGUAGGCGAGUUUCGUCUUUGGAGAGGACAUUCGGCCGCCGAACCUGCCGCCGAAAGUGUCCUGCCCAGCCUUCUUUUGCAUGCUUUGUGUGAUUGGUCUAGGAUCUUUUAGGGGGUUUUUGGGGAGUUGUUGAGGGGAUGUUUUAGAGUUAUGUUAGCAUUGUUUGGCACCUCAUGUGAGUCCACCUGUGUAGGAUCAGACCUGAGGCGAGGUGUUUAGCUCCAGUGUGAGAGUUGGCCCAGAGUUAGCCACAGCUUGGCUUCAGGUGAGUAGAACUAACUAUGCAUGUUUUAAAGCUAACUAUGCAUGUUUUCAAGCGAAUGGUUAAAGAUAGUGAUAGUAUGAGCAUGAGACACGCAUCAUGGAUGCCAUAUGAUACUAGGUUGUACUGCAUUAGAGAUCACGAAUAUGCUGCAUUGCAUUAUUAUUGUUGAUGGGAUGGACCAAGGCGAUCUCAGUAGCCCGCUACCUGUUAUGUCUAGAUAAGACCUUUGGGAGCUCUGCAGUUAGGGGCCGGGCUCUAGUACAUGUAGUGACCUGGGAGUCCGUAGGGACCGGGCACCGACAGAGGGAAUUCUGGGAUCAUGUCUAAUCCGAGAUGUGAAAUGUUUGUGCUGUGACACAUUCCAUGAAAGCAUGUAAUGACUAAACUGUUUUAUGGUUUCUACUCACUGGGCUCUAGUAGCUCACCCCAUUCCCUUAACCCCAGUUUUGCAGGGCCAGCGUUCAGCAGAGUGAGCUAUGGGAAAAGCAGAGUGUAAGCAUGGGUUGCCGUGUUUGGCUGUACUAGCAUAGCUAGGUUUUGAUAGCGUGGCAUGUAUAUGUAUGAGAGCAGCUUGAUGUAUCUGUUUAUGCAAGAUGAUGUAAAGAUCUAAGGAUGAUAUGUUAUGUUAUGUUAUGUUAUGUUAUGUAUGUGUGUAUAGUAUAGUCGUGGACAUGAUGUAUGGACAUGAUGUUUUAGCAUGAUGUAUAUACAGGUUAUGCAUGGAAAGAGCAUAUGGUAAAGAGAUAGAGUAUAAUGAGAUAAUGUCUAGAGUUGUGCUUUGCCCAGUGUAUGCUGAAUCCCUAGUUUAUGCAUGUAUCCUGUUUUACGUUUCUUGAUGAGAAAUGUGUCAAACUAGGCUUAACGUAUGCUGUGUUUAUAAAACUCCAGUGAUCAGGGAAGAAAGGGUAUAAAACCCCUUGACCCAUUUUGAGAGGGAAGAAAGGGUAUAAAACCCCUUGACCCAUAACAGAAAGUAAGGCUAGCCUGUAAUAUGCCGACCCUAAAAGAGUGGGUUCUAUGUUUUCAGCUGUAGAUCACUGGUGUAGGCCUUGACGGCUGUGGUUUUAAGGUUAAGCCUAGUGGUUUUACAGAAAAGGUUUUCAAAGCUAGUGUUCUAGUUGGAUCAUGUAUGGGAUUGAUUAGGUACACAGAGUUCAGUAGCAGGCUUGCUACGGGUCUAGGAGGUCUUAAGCCGAUCUGGAUCCUAGCGCCGAACAGUUUGGAGCCGUUACAGAGGGGUAUCGAUUUUCGGGCUGUUACAGUGUUCUUCUUCUAACGUUUUCUUUUCUUUCUUCCUCUCUUUUUCUUUUUCUUUUUUUAUAAAAUUUAUUUGUUUGAGUGGUUAUAAAUGAGCCCCUUGUCUUUAAAUUAUAAUUUAAUUUAUCU
RNAcentral lists this long non-coding RNA (2668 nucleotides) under Manihot esculenta (cassava). RNAcentral describes it as "long non-coding RNA (MESC_LNC012653)". Lineage: Eukaryota; Viridiplantae; Streptophyta; Magnoliopsida; Malpighiales; Euphorbiaceae. The record is from RNAcentral.